RNAcentral lists this ribosomal RNA (465 nucleotides) under uncultured bacterium. RNAcentral describes it as "SSU rRNA". It matches the Rfam family "Bacterial small subunit ribosomal RNA", at positions 26 to 518 of the family's 1533-position model. The record is from RNAcentral.
AGGACUAACGCUGGCGGCGUGCCUAACACAUGCAAGUCGAACGGGGUAGCAAUACCCAGUGGCAGACGGGUGAGUAACACGUGGUCAACCUACCUCUGUGUGGGGGAUAACUAGCCGAAAGGUUAGCUAAUACCGCAUACGAUCGUUUUGAGGCAUCUCGAGACGAUGAAAGGAGCAAUCCGCACGGAGAGGGGACUGCGUCCCAUUAGUUAGUUGGUGGGGUAACGGCCUACCAAGACUCCGAUGGGUAGCUGGCUUGAGAGAGCGACCAGCCACACUGGAACUGAGAAACGGUCCAGACUCCUACGGGAGGCAGCAGUGAGGAAUUUUCCGCAAUGGGCGAAAGCCUGACGGAGCGACGCCGCGUGUGGGAUGAAGGCCUUCGGGUCGUAAACCACUGUCGAAGGGGACGAUAAUGACGGUACCCUUGGAGGAAGCCCCGGCUAACUACGCGCCAGCAGCCGC